This 67-nucleotide transfer RNA is filed under the name Ophichthys cuchia (cuchia). RNAcentral's name for it is "tRNA-Cys". Lineage: Eukaryota; Metazoa; Chordata; Actinopteri; Synbranchiformes; Synbranchidae. The record is from RNAcentral.
AGUCCUGGGGUGUUUAAACAUAUUGGAUUGCAAAUCUUAAGUAGCGAAGUAAUGUUCGCCGGGGCUU